This 412-nucleotide ribosomal RNA is filed under the name Escherichia coli. RNAcentral's name for it is "partial 23S ribosomal RNA". It matches the Rfam family "Bacterial large subunit ribosomal RNA", at positions 726 to 1135 of the family's 2925-position model. Lineage: Bacteria; Pseudomonadati; Pseudomonadota; Gammaproteobacteria; Enterobacterales; Enterobacteriaceae. The record is from RNAcentral.
UGAUCUAGCCAUGGGCAGGUUGAAGGUUGGGUAACACUAACUGGAGGACCGAACCGACUAAUGUUGAAAAAUUAGCGGAUGACUUGUGGCUGGGGGUGAAAGGCCAAUCAAACCGGGAGAUAGCUGGUUCUCCCCGAAAGCUAUUUAGGUAGCGCCUCGUGAAUUCAUCUCCGGGGGUAGAGCACUGUUUCGGCAAGGGGGUCAUCCCGACUUACCAACCCGAUGCAAACUGCGAAUACCGGAGAAUGUUAUCACGGGAGACACACGGCGGGUGCUAACGUCCGUCGUGAAGAGGGAAACAACCCAGACCGCCAGCUAAGGUCCCAAAGUCAUGGUUAAGUGGGAAACGAUGUGGGAAGGCCCAGACAGCCAGGAUGUUGGCUUAGAAGCAGCCAUCAUUUAAAGAAAGCGU